GGACGCGAGCUGAGCUCGGGCCGAUUACUUGGUGGGCUCCUGGUUUCUGACUAGCUUGGCUCGGCGCGAAGGCCAGACGAGCCUGCUUCCCACCUCCGCUCAGCAUGAAGGACAGACGGGCUCGGCCCGAGCCCAAGCCGCCAUAUGCAGAUAUGCCCGGGGCAGCUAGUAGGCUGGGGCUCGCUCGUCCGCCUUGACGGCUUGACCUGGUGGUGCAGCAGUGCAGCUACACCGGGCAAAGUUCUGGCCGUAUAUAUGUGUCUAUGUGCAGUACGGUCCUGGCCCAAGAAAACCUCCUAACUUCAAUCGAAUCCCCAUCGUUUUCUCGUUAUCUCUUGCCUGACUCGUGGCACUCGCGCUCGUCUGUGGAUAAGUUGACAGAUCGAAUCAAUCGGCUGAUUUUUCGCCGCUCCUCCGCCUUGGGCAGCCAAGCCUUGCGGCUGCACCUCUCUGCCCAGGUAGCAAGCCGGUUCGAGUACUGCUCCUCUUCAAAGCCUACUGCUGUCAUGCAACAUGCAUCGCUGAUCGUCUUGCAGGCUGCAUCGGCGUCGCCGGACAACGGGAGUACGGCACUAGAACUAUUGUCAUCUAGAAAGUAUCCAUCAGGAAGUGAGAAAAGAAAUGAGACGAUGACAUGAUAGAAUCGCAGAAAGAUCCAUGGAUAAAGAUUUGAAGAGUAACACAAGCAUAUCCAACAUAGCAAGAAAUCCAGAUGAGCGGGCAAUAGUAGUUGUUGUGGAAGAAGAAAUUCGUAGAUGAGAUUGAUGCUAAAUAGCAUCAUCAAUUACUUUGCAUCAAGGAAUGUUAGAAUAAUUUUUUACGGUAAUAUGUAUAAACUUUUUCAUAUAAAUGUAACUCUUGAUUCAUCGUUAGUAUUUGUUAGUGAAUAAUUUUUUACGGUAAAUGUAUAAACCUUUUCAUAUAAAUGUAACUCUGGUUUCGUACCGGACCCUUGAAA
This is a long non-coding RNA of Brachypodium distachyon (stiff brome), 958 nucleotides long. RefSeq lists it as uncharacterized. NCBI's taxonomy places the organism in Eukaryota, Viridiplantae, Streptophyta, Magnoliopsida, Poales, Poaceae. The record is from RefSeq and is a predicted model, not a curated record. The transcript is spliced from 2 exons.